GAUGAACGCUGGCGGCGUGCCUAACACAUGCAAGUCGAGCGAAGCACUUUGCUUAGAUUCUUCGGAUGAAGAGGAUUGUGACUGAGCGGCGGACGGGUGAGUAACGCGUGGGUAACCUGCCUCAUACAGGGGGAUAACAGUUAGAAAUGACUGCUAAUACCGCAUAAGACCACAGCACCGCAUGGUGCGGGGGUAAAAACUCCGGUGGUAUGAGAUGGACCCGCGUCUGAUUAGCUAGUUGGUAAGGUAACGGCUUACCAAGGCGACGAUCAGUAGCCGACCUGAGAGGGUGACCGGCCACAUUGUGACUGAGACACGGCCCAAACUCCUACGGGAGGCAGCAGUGGGGAAUAUUGCACAAUGGGGGAAACCCUGAUGCAGCGACGCCGCGUGAGCGAAGAAGUAUUUCGGUAUGUAAAGCUCUAUCAGCAGGGAAGAAAAUGACGGUACCUGACUAAGAAGCACCGGCUAAAUACGUGCCAGCAGCCGCGGUAAUACGUAUGGUGCAAGCGUUAUCCGGAUUUACUGGGUGUAAAGGGAGCGUAGACGGAUGGGCAAGUCUGAUGUGAAAACCCGGGGCUCAACCCCGGGACUGCAUUGGAAACUGUUCAUCUAGAGUGCUGGAGAGGUAAGUGGAAUUCCUAGUGUAGCGGUGAAAUGCGUAGAUAUUAGGAGGAACACCAGUGGCGAAGGCGGCUUACUGGACAGUAACUGACGUUGAGGCUCGAAAGCGUGGGGAGCAAACAGGAUUAGAUACCCUGGUAGUCCACGCCGUAAACGAUGACUAUUAGGUGUUCGGGGGGCAAAAACCAUUCGGUGCCGCCAGCACACGCAAUAAGUAGUCCCCCGCGGGAGUACGUUCGCAAGAAAGAAACUCAAAGGAAUUGACGGGGCCCCGCACAAGCGGCGGAGCAUGUGGUUUAAUUUGAAGCAACGCGAAGAACCUUACCUGCUCUUGACAUCCCGCUGACGCGGACGGUAAUGCGUCCUUCCCUUCGGGGCAGCGGAGACAGGUGGUGCAUGGUUGUCGUCAGCUCGUGUCGUGAGAUGUUGGGUUAAGUCCCGCAACGAGCGCAACCCCUAUCUUUAGUAGCCAGCGGCCAGGCCGGGCACUCUAGAGAGACUGCCGGGGAUAACCCGGAGGAAGGUGGGGAUGACGUCAAAUCAUCAUGCCCCCUAUGAGCAGGGCUACACACGUGCUACAAUGGCGUAAACAAAGGGAAGCGAGACCGCGAGGUGGAGCAAAUCCCAAAAAUAACGUCUCAGUUCGGAUUGUAGUCUGCAACUCGACUACAUGAAGCUGGAAUCGCUAGUAAUCGCGAAUCAGAAUGUCGCGGUGAAUACGUUCCCGGGUCUUGCACA
Molecule: ribosomal RNA, 1362 nt
Filed under: uncultured bacterium
Lineage: Bacteria
Description: bacterial SSU rRNA
Rfam family: Bacterial small subunit ribosomal RNA
Source: RNAcentral